CAGGCUGGGAUUGCCUCAGGAAACUUACAAUUAUGGAGGAAAGAGAAGCAGAUACCUUCUUCACAAGGUGGCUAGAGAGAAAAAGUGUAUGUAGGAGGAAAUGUUAAACACAUAAAACUAUCAGAUCUUGUGAGAACUCACUAUCACAAGAACAGCAUGGGGGAACGGCCCCCAUGAUCCAGUUACCUCCCACCAGGUCCUGUCCUUGACACAUGGGUACUAUGGGAUUAUAAUUCAAGAUGAGAUUUGGAUUGGGGACACAGAGCCAAACCAUUUCAACAAAGGACAAUUAUAUAUCUGUUUCAGUCUAGGUCCAAGUUUAUAUUUCUCUAGAAUUUUUAUCCUUUUACCACGGGGGAAUAUUUUUUUAAACAUGCUUUUAAGAAAGUCACCAAGGCAAGAGAGAAAAAGGAAUAGGACAGUCCCAAAGGAGCUGAGGUAUAGAAUAACUGGUCUUUCAGGGUAUUUCCAAAAGACUAGUCAAGAGGGUGGCACUUGUGGAAGAGGAGCACGAAAAGAAUAUCAUGGUAAGGGAAGAAAACCUAAAACAGCAGAAAGAAAAAUAAUUUUUUUUAAAAAAAAAGCACUAUUAAGGAAAGACAUCAACAAUUAAAAGCAUGAAAGCAGCAAAAACAAUAAAAGUAGUAAAUAUAAUUAUACGUUGUAUAUAAAACUGUUCUAUUUGAUUUACUCAGCAGCUCUUUGGGUUCUGUAAAAGAGGUAUUAUCUUCCCCAUUUCAUAGAUAAAGAAACCAAGGCCCAGAGACUUGCCUAAUUACAUAGCUAGUAGUUGAAGUUUUCUGACUUAUGAUUUAAGAAUAUUCUCACAUGGAAAAGGGAAAGGAUAAGACAAAAAUUGAAAGAUAAAAAUAAAGAGAAAGUGGUGAUUAAUAAACGUUUGUUGCAUGAGUGACAAAUGUAUAUAACAGGAAAGUCUGAAAAUACAAAUUUCAACUUCGACGGAGAAUAUUUCUCUGGGCUCACUACACAUUUUCAAGACUUUGGCCCCUGACUCCCACAGAUAUCAUUGUGGAUAUGAUAUAACUCAGGGAAAUAAAUCCCUAUUUUUGUUUAUAAAUUAAGAGAUUAAUUAAUACAUAGUAAGUCAAUUAUUAUUAUUUGUUGACCACAGUGUCAGUCAGGGUUGAGGCAGGAAAGAAAUGGCUCAUUCAAAGGGUAAAUCGCAUUUAACGAAGGGACUGUUUACACAUUUGAAGGGAGAAUAACCAAGGGAUUGGUCAUAAAGGGAAGUGUUCUUCACUCUUGGGCCCCAGUGCAAUGAAUAAGAGGGAGCACAGACCCCAGGGAGUGCUGCGGCCUUGAGAGAAGGCUGCUUGACAGAAGCUGAGGUCUCUGGAUCUCUGAUAGGAGAAUUUAGCCAUGAUGGUGACAGUAGAGAGAAGGAUGCUGUGCCAAAUACCUUCUUUUCCAAAAAACUAUAAAAUCAAUAAUUUAGAAUGGGAAUAAGGGGAAGAGAUGAAAGACUGUACUACUUCAACAAAAUGUGGAAAAAGAGGAAAAAGCAUCUUUCUUAAGGUGAGAAUUUAGAAAAUGGGGAAAUAUAUAUAAAGUUGAGUUAUAUUUACCAGUUUUGUCCAUUCAUUCUGCAACAGUGUAAUGAACCUACUACACUGCAGUCAUUCAGAAACCUUGGGGUUAAUGUGACAAUAACACUAAACCCCUGCCCCCAAAGACAUCAGUCCACCAGGAGGGACAUGCAAGUAAAUAGCAGUAACAAAACCAAUAUAAUAUCAUGUUAUAAAAGAGAUACACACACAAUUCCAUGGUGUAAAGAGAGCAAGUGCUAUUCUUGGUAGAAUUGGAGAAGAUUUUCAAAUGAAGGGACAUCUGAAUGACAUUUUAAAUUAGCAGUUUUGCAAGACCAGUGAAAUAAAGGCAUUUCAAGUAUAGGGAGUGGCUUGUGUGCAGGUGUGGAAACUCUAAAGGUACCUGAUGAUUUAAGGAGCUGCAGUAGUUCAGCAUGGCUUGAGUUUGGCAGGGGUGGGGGUUAUGGAGGAGUAUUAUGCUAAAGACCAUUAACUUGACUUUAAAUAACAGUUGUAGAUUUUAAACCAAGGAAGUGAUAUGGUUACAUUUAUGUAUUAGAAAGACCAUUACUGAAGUAUUGUUUCCAAUUUAAGGAAUGGAAGGGGUGGCGAGGAGGAAGAGUUAAGUAUAAAUUUAUUUCCACUAAAUUUCUGUCGGUCACUUUUUUAUCUUUAUUAUAUUUGCUUGAUUUUUUUAUAAAGGGGGGCAUUUUAAUCUGAGGCAAGAAGGAGAAAAGUGCAGAGUGAAAGAUGGGGUUUAUUUUCAUAUCGAUAUCAUUGCCUUGCGAACAUUCUGGUGAGGUGCUGCAGGUAAAGGAGCUCUCCUGCUCAAGGACUGACCUUGGUAGAAUCUUGCCUACCCAUCUACAUUCAGGGAAUUUCACUUCACUUUCCCUUCUGGAUAUGGCCAGCCCACCACCAAAACAAGGGAAGAGAUAUGGGAGUGAAGAUUCAUCCCCUACACAGUGCAUCAUUAUUGGCAAGUGAGAAGCGGAGCUGGGAAUUUGAGAAGCAAAUCAAUGCCUUCUGCUUCUCUUCAUUAGUUCUGACAACAGAUGGAAAAGAGGCAAACCCUCACCUUCUGUGGUUGCUUCUGAUAUUCAACUGGGAACCUCAUUCUCAGUAGCUACAGAUUUCUCUAAUCACUCAUCUUAACUUAACUUGACACUGCAUUCUAUUGCCUUUCAUGAGAAGGAUCUUGGGAGGCUGUAAACCUAUGUUGCUGGGAAACAAAUGUAUUGCCUUAAAUAGAGCAGGAGAGGAGCUGCAGAUUUCCAACUCUUACAGCUUGUUCACUUGUGGAGACUGGGCUGCAAUGUGCUCUUGAAAUCUUUGGGGUGGGCCUUGUUUCUGAGGAAAUAAAGAGGCCCCAGAACCUCCCAAGUGAGUGAAAGAAUGAUUUCCAGAUACUCAAAUGGAGUGGCCUUCUGGCUACAUUAGCUGGAUGUGCUUGGCAGUCUUUCCAUCUGGCUGGCCAGUAUCCUGAGGUUAGCAAAGCAGAAGGCAAAUCUUUGGGGAGUUAAAAGACAUGUGCACGUGCCAGUAUUUUUGACAAAUGCUCAGUUAAUUGUUUUCUAUGAUUCUUCUCCUGAGACACAAACUGUAUGCACCAGGCACCAAGAACUAUCCCCUCCCACCACCCCAGAUCCCAAGGGAAGCUUCAUAAUUACACACAUUUGGGCCAAGCAUCUACCCCACAGGAAAUGGAAAGAUCAGGCCCUAGGGAUGAAAGAAUGAUGCAGGGCAUGGGAAAGCAGGGAAAUCUCCUCAGUGAGAAAGAAGACAAAUUCACAUCAGCCUGUGAGCUUAUAUACCAGUAAGAGAAAUUCAGAAUUUCUUGUUAGGAUACUAAGGAAAUGGUGGUCAGAAGAGGCCUGGGACAGAUGAAAUUCACCAAAGUCUCUACCACAGACAUUCUCAGAUGGUGCUAAUAAAAAGAAGAAACCCAAACCAGAACUGGUGGUCCACAUUGUGAGAGUUGCUUAAUAUCAUCACAAAGCAAUAAUUAUCCACAGCAUGCUUGGUGGCUCAACAUUCUGAAAGGCAAAUGUCAAGGGCAUAUAGUCUCAACCAUGUUGCUAAUGGCAGCUCAUGUUUUGUGUUGGGUGGUCUUGUGUUCUGCCUGGUGGUCUUUCUUCUGCCUGCUAUGACAGCACUAAUGAUUUCAUGUCCACAGUAUUCACUUGUCUCCCUUUAGUAAUGCAUGACAAGUCAUAAAAGACAGACUGCCCAGAAAUGACACUGCAGUAUUCCAGACAUUUUCUCUCUUGGUGGUGACAGUUCCAAAUCAAGCUGGCUCAGUGCUUUAAGUCAAAGCAUUUGUCUAAGUGGCAGUUCAAAAUGCAGCCUUAGAUCUGGAAAAUCAAACUAGGCUUUUCUCACUUCUGCCAUCAUUGCUGGUAGUAAAUAUUUAACUGCUGGACCACAGCUAGCAGAUUAUGAUAGAUGACACAGAAUAGAAUACAACUCUUUCUUUCCUAGCUGUGAAGAACUCAUCUUUUGGUUAGAGAGAUUUCACUACCUUUUAAUAAGCAUAAGUAGGCCAUUUUACAGACUUUCUUCCACACUCAUUCACGGUUUCUUUCCCAAAUUCCCACAAAGAAUAGCAAGGGAAGCUUCAUGGCUGCAAAGAAUAUCAAUAUAAUUUCUGUUCAGAGGAUCAAAGUAUCACAUACUCAAAAAUCAAUCCAGGCAAUUAUCCCAGUUUUAACUCUAAAGAAUAUAUUAGAACAUUCUUUAUCAGAACCUGACCUAUAACGCUGUAUAGGGCAAUCAGACCAAGAAUUCACUCUCAAUAGACUUUUGGGACCAUCAAUUAGAUUAGGUUUGGGGAAUUCAGUGCUACUCCCUAUAAACUACCCAUCACAAGUGAUCUUCCUGCAAAAUCCUACACUCUACCUCUACCAUGCCAUUUUCUUACUUUUGGCCUUUUAUUGUGGUUAACUUUUCAUAAUCAUUCUUUUGUUAAAUGAACAUAAAUUGAGUCUAUUGAACCUCUUAAGGCCUAGAAAAAGCUUCUAGAAAGGAAUGAUACUUGAGCUAGCCAUUCUAAGUGCUUUCAUCACAUCCUUAAGAAAUAUUUGAUACAGAACCUGCCAUACUAUAUUGUAAUCAUUUUGCUUCAUUAUCUGUUUCUUCUCCUUUAUUAUAGGUUCCUUGAAAGCAGAUACCAGACAUAUUUAUCUUCCCAUACCAUUGCCUAAAAACUGUGCCUGGUCCAUAGCAUAGGGGCAGUGCAUGUUUUAAUUAGUAGAUUAAACUUGGCCCAUUGGAGAGGAGAGAGUGAUUACAAGGACAAAUAAGAUUUCGUUUUAUCCCUCAAGUUCUUUCUAAGUUAGCACAUUGCUAGGUACAGAUUAGUUGCUCAAUAAAUGCUGGCUGGUUAGUCAAUUAUCAGACAGUUAUUUUUCUUCACAUGGAAAGACAAAGCUACCAAAAUGAAUAUAUACCAACAAAGCCAGCUAUAGUUUUAUUUUGAAAUAGCAACACCUUUCCUACCCUCACUCAGGACUUCAAGUACUAAUAACAAGAAAGAAACAAAGUAUAGGAAUUGCUUAUCAUACCAAGCAUAAUAUCUGAAGCCAAAACUGAGACAGUCUAGUGCCAGGAAAGGAUAUUUUAAACUAGAACCAUCUUGGAUCAAACAAGAUAUUUGGUUCUUAGUACUUCUGGUCUCCAAUAUGCCUCAACAAUUUCCAGUUAGACCUUGACAAUUAUGUGAUAAAAUAAAUAUAAAAACACUUUAACACUGUAUAACACACAAUGAAAAUAUAAGUGCUAUAAAUAGAAACUGUAUUUCUGCAUUUAAAAUACAUGGACCAAUUUGGUAAGUGCAUACACGAAGAAAUAGUGAUUUGAGGCAUUUCCUAAUUCAUUUAUACUCUUUUUUUAAUUAAGUAACUUAAAGCAUGAGAUCUAUUGUAAAGUCAGAACUAAAAAGGACCAGAGAAGAAGAGGAAGUAGAUGACAGAAGAGUAGAAUAUUGUAAGAGGGAAGUACUUAGUACAGAAUUACACAGCCCAAUAGAGAAAAUUAGAAACUGAUUCAAUAUCUAUUAAAUAGACUUUAACUGAGUGUCACUGAGUGUCUCUUAGGUCCCAGGCAUGAAGCUAAGAACUGUGAAGCACAUCAAGAUGAAUAAAUUUCAGCCUAGUGAAAGAAAGCUUGUAGUCUGUGGGUUGGGAGGGUGGGGGUGGAGGGAGGGGAAAAAAGACAAGCAUGUAUACAAAUAUAUCAGAAGGCAGAAGUAAUCAGAGCUGGAAGAGAAGUUCAGACAAACUUCUGUCAUAGUUUAAAGAAAGAAAAUGUCUGUUCAUUGAAGGAUGCUUCAGGGUAAUUUCAUAGUGGAGAUAUUACAUAAGCUAAGUCUGAGAAGAAAUUCAAGAGGUAGAUAUAAAGGAUGAAGAACUCUACAUUCAGAAUUAACAGUCUGAGAAAAGCAUAGAGGUAGGAAACUUACUAGCUAUGUUUAAUAAGCAUCAAGUACUCCAUUUUGUCUAAAGUUUAAGGUAUGCAUGAAGACAUAGUGAGGAAUGAGGCUGAAGAGCCAACUGUGGCUAGGUUGUCAACAGUCUGGAAUACUAAGCCAAAGGAUUUGGGCUUUAUUCAGUCAUCUUUGGGAGCUACUCAAAGUAUGAUAAGAUCAUAGCUGUAUUUUCAGAAGCUUAAUCUAGAAACAAUAAAAGAGUAAGUUAGGUGAAAAAAGAUUGGAAGUGGGAGAUAAAUUUAGGUGUCAUUAUUAUAAAGACCAGUACAAAAUUUAAUAAAGAUCUUCAAGAAGGAGGUGACUGCUAUAACGUUAUCAUAUUUGCCAUGGUCUACUCAGGCUGCUGUAAUACCAUAAACUGAGUGGCUUACAAACAACAUAAAUGUAUUUCUCACAGGUCUGAAGGCUGAAAUGUUGAAGACCAAGGUGCUGUCAGAUUUGGUGUCUGGUGAGGCCUGCCUUCUGGUUCAUAGAUAGUGGCUUCUCACUGUGUCUUCAUAUGAUGAAAAAGACGAGGCAGCUCUCUAGAACCUCUUUUAUGAGGGCACUAAUCUUGUUCAUGAGGGCAGAGCCUAAUUAUCUCCCAGUUAGCCCAACUGCCGACCACCAUCACCUUGGGUGUUAGAAUUUCAACAUAUAAAUUUUGAGGGGACGUGAACAUCCAAACCACAGCAAUAGUAUUAAAUGUGACAAAUACUGCUGUCUUGUUUAGUAAGUGUAGGAAUGAGCCAUGAAAGAUUAGAAGGGAGGCUCGCAUGAAUUGGCACUGAGGUGAGGAAUGACGCCUGAAGGAAUUUAGUGUCAGGUCUGAACAAACAGGGUAGGAGCAAGAUGCUUGCAUGCUUACAUCAUACAUAGGGCCUCAUAACAGAAUUACGAAGGAGGGAGGUGAAACAAGAUGCCAAAUAGAAGCCUUCAGCAAUCAUUCCCUUCCAUAGGAAUGCCAAAUUGAGUAACUGUCCACACAA
This is a long non-coding RNA of Sapajus apella (tufted capuchin), 7001 nucleotides long. RefSeq lists it as uncharacterized. Lineage: Eukaryota; Metazoa; Chordata; Mammalia; Primates; Cebidae. The record is from RefSeq and is a predicted model, not a curated record. The transcript is spliced from 2 exons.